CCCUACGAGGCAGCAGUAGGGAAUCUUCCCGCAAUGGACGAAAGUCUGACGGAGCAACGCCGCGUGAACGAAGAAGGCCUUCGGGUCGUAAAGUUCUGUUGUUAGGGAAGAACAAGUACCAGAGUAACUGCUGGUACCUUGACGGUACCUAACCAGAAAGCCACGGCUAACUACGUGCCAGCAGCCGCGGUAAUACGUAGGUGGCAAGCGUUGUCCGGAAUUAUUGGGCGUAAAGCGCGCGCAGGUGGUUCCUUAAGUCUGAUGUGAAAGCCCACGGCUCAACCGUGGAGGGUCAUUGGAAACUGGGGAACUUGAGUGCAGAAGAGGAAAGUGGAAUUCCAAGUGUAGCGGUGAAAUGCGUAGAGAUUUGGAGGAACACCAGUGGCGAAGGCGACUUUCUGGUCUGUAACUGACACUGAGGCGCGAAAGCGUGGGGAGCAAACAGGAUUAGAUACCCUGGUAGUCCACGCCGUAAACGAUGAGUGCUAAGUGUUAGAGGGUUUCCGCCCUUUAGUGCUGCAGCUAACGCAUUAAGCACUCCGCCUGGAAG
Molecule: ribosomal RNA, 550 nt
Filed under: Lysinibacillus macroides
Lineage: Bacteria; Bacillati; Bacillota; Bacilli; Caryophanales; Bacillaceae
Description: bacterial SSU rRNA
Rfam family: Bacterial small subunit ribosomal RNA
Source: RNAcentral